RNAcentral lists this ribosomal RNA (406 nucleotides) under uncultured bacterium. RNAcentral's name for it is "partial 16S ribosomal RNA". It matches the Rfam family "Bacterial small subunit ribosomal RNA", at positions 29 to 526 of the family's 1533-position model. The record is from RNAcentral.
AGUGAACGCUGGCGGCAGGCCUAACACAUGCAAGUCGAACGAGUGGCGGACGGGUGAGUAAUGUCUGGGAAACUGCCUGAUGGAGGGGGAUAACUACUGGAAACGGUCGCUAAUACCGCAUACCAUCGGAUGUGCCCAGCUGGGAUUAGCUGGUUGGUGGGGUAACGGCUCACCAAGGCGACGAUCCGUAACUGGUCUGAGAGGAUGAGCAGUCACACUGGAACUGCGACACGGUCCAGACUCCUACGGGAGGCAGCAGUGGGGAAUAGUGGACAAUGGGCGAAAGCCUGAUCCAGCCAUGCCGCGUGUGUGAAGAAGGUCUUCGGAUUGUAAAGCACUUUAAGUUGGGAGGCGUUAUCAACAGAAUAAGCACCGGCUAACUUCGAGCCAGCCGCCGCGGUAAUAC